GUGCCUUCGGGAACUCUGAGACAGGUGCUGCAUGGCUGUCGUCAGCUCGUGUUGUGAAAUGUUGGGUUAAGUCCCGCAACGAGCGCAACCCUUAUCCUUGUUUGCCAGCGAGUCAUGUCGGGAACUCCCGGGGAGACUGCCGGUGAUAAACCGGAGGAAGGUGGGGACGACGUCAAGUCAUCAUGGCCCUUACGAGUAGGGCUACACACGUGCUACAAUGGCGCAUACAGAGGGCAGCAAGCUAGCGAUAGUGAGCGAAUCCCAAAAAGUGCGUCGUAGUCCGGAUUGGAGUCUGCAACUCGACUCCAUGAAGUCGGAAUCGCUAGUAAUCGUGAAUCAGAAUGUCACGGUGAAUACGUUCCCGGGCCUUGUACACACCGCCCGUCACACCAUGGGAGUGGGCUGCAAAAGAAGUGGGUAGUUUAACCUUUCGGGGAGGACGCUCACCACUUUGUGGUUCAUGACUGGGGUGAAGUCGUAACAAGGUAGCCCUAGGGGAACCUGGGGCUGGAUCACCUCCUUAUACGAAGAUAC
Molecule: ribosomal RNA, 534 nt
Filed under: Vibrio cyclitrophicus
Lineage: Bacteria; Pseudomonadati; Pseudomonadota; Gammaproteobacteria; Vibrionales; Vibrionaceae
Description: bacterial SSU rRNA
Rfam family: Bacterial small subunit ribosomal RNA
Source: RNAcentral